UUAGUGAUAAGCUAAAUAAGCUGUAGGGCUCAUAACUCUAAAAUGGACUUUCCUCACUAAA
RNAcentral lists this transfer RNA (61 nucleotides) under Albinaria caerulea. RNAcentral's name for it is "tRNA-Met". Lineage: Eukaryota; Metazoa; Mollusca; Gastropoda; Stylommatophora; Clausiliidae. The record is from RNAcentral.